Molecule: ribosomal RNA, 427 nt
Filed under: uncultured bacterium
Lineage: Bacteria
Description: partial 16S ribosomal RNA
Rfam family: Bacterial small subunit ribosomal RNA
Source: RNAcentral
UGGGGACUAUUGCACAAUGGGCGCAAGCCUGAUGCAGCCAUGCCGCGUGUAUGAAGAAGGCCUUCGGGUUGUAAAGUACUUUCAGCGAGGAGGAAGGCGUUGUGGUUAAUAACCGCAACGAUUGACGUUACUCGCAGAAGAAGCACCGGCUAACUCCGUGCCAGCAGCCGCGGUAAUACGGAGGGUGCAAGCGUUAAUCGGAAUUACUGGGCGUAAAGCGCACGCAGGCGGUCUGUCAAGUCGGAUGUGAAAUCCCCGGGCUCAACCUGGGAACUGCAUCCGAAACUGGCAGGCUAGAGUCUUGUAGAGGGGGGUAGAAUUCCAGGUGUAGCGGUGAAAUGCGUAGAGAUCUGGAGGAAUACCGGUGGCGAAGGCGGCCCCCUGGACAAAGACUGACGCUCAGGUGCGAAAGCGUGGGGAGCAAACA